GAUUUCUGGCCUGGCGUGCCUGGCCCGCCAGCGUUAGCUGUGUGUGUGUCGGGUCGCGCCUGCCAUCCUUCCAGAGAACAUGCUUACCUUUCAUUAGGCCGAGCAUGCCAUCUGGAUCUUUUACUUUGAAAAAAUUAGAGUGUUUAAAGCAGGCUUUUGCUAUGAAUACAUUAGCAUGGAAUAAUAAUCUAGGACUUCGGUUCUAUUUUGUUGGUUUCUAGAACUGAAGUAAUGAUUGAUAGGGAUAGUUGGGGGUGCUAGUAUUCAGCGGCCAGAGGUGAAAUUCUUGGAUUCGCUGAAGACUAACUUAUGCGAAAGCAUU
This 322-nucleotide ribosomal RNA is filed under the name Cercozoa sp. Its description in RNAcentral is "SSU rRNA". The stretch from base 107 to 322 matches the Rfam family "Eukaryotic small subunit ribosomal RNA", at positions 738 to 955 of the family's 1831-position model. The record is from RNAcentral. Lineage: Eukaryota; Cercozoa.